AAAUGCGAUAAUUAAUGUGAAUUGCAGAAUUCAGUGAAUCAUCGAGUCUUUGAACGCACAUUGCGCCCCCUGGUAUUCCGGGGGGCAUGCCUGUCCGAGCGUCAUUGCUGCCCUCAAGCACGGCUUGUGUGUUGGGCUUCCGUCCCUGGCAACGGGGACGGGCCCAAAAGGCAGUGGCGGCACCAUGUCUGGUCCUCGAGCGUAUGGGACUUUGUCACCCGCUCCCGUAGGUCCAGCUGGCAGCUAGCCUCGCAACCAAUCUUUUUAACCAGGUUGACCUCGGAUCAGGUAGGGAUACCCGCUGAACUUAAGC
This 313-nucleotide unclassified non-coding RNA is filed under the name plant metagenome. RNAcentral's name for it is "partial contains 5.8S ribosomal RNA, internal transcribed spacer 2, and large subunit ribosomal RNA". The stretch from base 1 to 104 matches the Rfam family "5.8S ribosomal RNA", at positions 51 to 154 of the family's 154-position model. The record is from RNAcentral.